GAUGAAUCACUGCCUAGAAUUUGGGGUUCUACAAACUGGGAAAUCACAUGAUUAUCACACCCCGAAGACUAACAUGAAACAGAAAGUGUCUGUGUUUUUCAAGCAUAAACCUUACCAGCAAUCAGAAGCAGACUUACAUGAAAAUUUCAGUUACAAAGAUAGGCAAAGUGCAGGCUUUAAGCAACCUCAUUCCUGGCAACAAUCUGAACAAUGUUCUAUAAGUGCUACAAAGAAAAUGAUUGGAAGGUUGCUCAGGGAGAGGCAUACUUUGAAAUGUGGCAUUUUGUUGAGCUGAUGAACACUUUACAAACUGAGCCAAAAAAAUCUAACAUUUUUCUCUACGACAAUUUAAUAUUGGAACAACUUAUUUCCAACUGUUUUGCUGAGCGGAAAAUAAAACCCUGUACUGUA
Molecule: long non-coding RNA, 411 nt
Organism: Mauremys reevesii (Reeves's turtle)
Lineage: Eukaryota; Metazoa; Chordata; Testudines; Geoemydidae
Exons: 3
Source: RefSeq, a predicted model, not a curated record